RNAcentral lists this ribosomal RNA (465 nucleotides) under uncultured bacterium. Its description in RNAcentral is "partial 16S ribosomal RNA". It matches the Rfam family "Bacterial small subunit ribosomal RNA", at positions 28 to 507 of the family's 1533-position model. The record is from RNAcentral.
GACGAACGCUGGCGGCGUGCUUAACACAUGCAAGUCGAACGGAAAGGCCCUGCUUGCAGGGUACUCGAGUGGCGAACGGGUGAGUAACACGUGGGUGAUCUGCCCUGCACUUCGGGAUAAGCCUGGGAAACUGGGUCUAAUACCGGAUAGGAGCCAUUUUUAGUGUGAUGGUUGGAAAGUUUUUUCGGUGUAGGAUGAGCUCGCAGCCUAUCAGCUUGUUGGUGGGGUAAUGGCCUACCAAGGCGGCGACGGGUAGCCGGCCUGAGAGGGUGGACGGCCACAUUGGGACUGAGAUACGGCCCAGACUCCUACGGGAGGCAGCAGUGGGGAAUAUUGCACAAUGGGCGCAAGCCUGAUGCAGCGACGCCGCGUGGGGGAUGACGGCCUUCGGGUUGUAAACCCCUUUCGCUAGGGACGAAGCUUUUUGUGACGGUACCUAGAUAAGAAGCACCGGCUAACUACGUG